GGGGAAUUUUCCGCAAUGGGCGAAAGCCUGACGGAGCAAUACCGCGUGAGGGAGGAAGGCUCUUGGGUUGUAAACCUCUUUUCUCAGGGAAGAUAAUGACGGUACUUGAGGAAUCAGCAUCGGCUAACUCCGUGCCAGCAGCCGCGGUAAUACGGAGGAUGCAAGCGUUAUCCGGAAUGAUUGGGCGUAAAGCGUUCGCAGGUGGCAUUGAAAGUCUGCUGUUAAAGAGUUUGGCUCAACCAAAUACAGGCAGUGGAAACUACAAAGCUAGAGUGCGGUAGGGGCAGAGGGAAUUCCUGGUGUAGCGGUGAAAUGCGUAGAGUUCAGGAAGAACACCGGUGGCGAAAGCGCUCUGCUAGACCGCAACUGACACUGAGGGACGAAAGCUAGGGGAGCGAAUGGGAUUAGAUACCCCAGUAGUC
This 422-nucleotide ribosomal RNA is filed under the name uncultured cyanobacterium. RNAcentral's name for it is "bacterial SSU rRNA". It matches the Rfam family "Bacterial small subunit ribosomal RNA", at positions 356 to 795 of the family's 1533-position model. The record is from RNAcentral. Lineage: Bacteria; Bacillati; Cyanobacteriota.